GAUCAUGGCUCAGGAUGAAGGCUGGCGGCGUGCCUAACACAUGCAAGUCGAGCGAGAAACCUUUCAAUGAAGCUUCGGUAGAUUUGAGAGGCGGAAAGCGGCGGACGGGUGAGUAACGCGUAGGCAACCUGCCCCUUGCAGAGGGAUAGCCUCGGGAAACCGGGAUUAAAACCUCAUAAAGCCUUUGAAGACAUGCUUUGUAAGGUACGAAAGAAUUUAUUCGGCCGAAGGGAAGUGGGCCGUCGCGUCUGAUUAG
Molecule: ribosomal RNA, 256 nt
Filed under: uncultured bacterium
Lineage: Bacteria
Description: partial 16S ribosomal RNA
Rfam family: Bacterial small subunit ribosomal RNA
Source: RNAcentral